AUCUGCUCACCCCAAUAUGGCUUUGGAUUGUCCAGAGGAUCUGAUGGUCAGGUUCUCUUACCUUGCAAGCAGGAUUUGCAACCUAAGGAAUUUGGUGAAUGGGAGCUGGGAAACUAUGAGUUUCUGUCUCCAUAUAAUGGCUGAUCAUCACUGAAUCUGAAAAGCUUGUGGUGAAAGCAACUGAAGGUCUCACUCCCCACAGCAGGACUUGAUAGACACUGAAGAGACACAGCUAUUCUUUUAAAUCCAAUGAGGAGACAAAGCAAAGCUCUGUAGGAGUUAGGGCUAAUCAAGCAGAGAGCCAGUACACCAGAGAAGGCACACACCACUCCUUCUCCAGAAAAGAGAGUUGGUAGUCAUUCACAUCCCUCUCUUCGGCAGGAAAAGGCCCCUUCCAGAUCCUCAGAUUAUGAACCAGCAAAUAUUGUCUUCAGCUGCUCCCAUAAAAGGAAAUACUUAGCCCAAUAUCCUGAUGAUCUUAGCCUACUUGCUGUGCUUACUAAGCACAGCUUUUAUGAUAUGUUCGCACAAGUCUUCCCUCCACUUUAUUUUGCCUGACAGGUAAGUGUUAUUUCUAGAAUGGAGUAAUGUUUAAUAUUAUCCAUGCCUUGUAUGUAAUAGCACUUUUGAUUGAUUUUUCCCCUACAUUACUCUCCACACUUAUAUAGUUUCUCUACUGUGCUACGCAUCAAAGCUUUCUCUCCUUUUGAAAAGAAUCCUUAUGGUAAGUAAUGUUUAAAAUAGUUACUUUCCUCACAUGAAAAAAGCAUAGGCAGGGGGUACUUUGAGCUGCACUCUUUAAAGAUCGUGGCAGCCUGAGGUUGGUUUGACUGAAACUGCUCCAAUUUUUAAAGGGUACAUCUGAAAAUAGUCACAUAUAGUUCAGCAGUACAUUGGCAGGAAGGCUGUUAAGUAUGAAACAUAGUUUUCCAAGUCAAUUCUUCCCUUUAUAGUCUUUCUCCAUUCACACCUCACCCUCACUCCCCACGAAUUGCUGGAGCAUCUAUCCUUAAUCUUCUACUCCCUCUAUCUAUAAGGACCUGUCUUAACACAGAGUCAGAUCAAUGGCCUAUUUAGCAGGUACUAUCAACCCUGACUUCAGUUAUUGGCAGCUCAAUCCUGUCCACUGCAGCGUAUAAUGAUACCUGUAUGAGACACAAGGGCACAUCUGGACAGUGAAGUGGGAUGAACACCUGGCAACAAAGUAAGAAGAAAAGAACUCUCUCUUGUUCUGAGUGACCUGAGAAUAUUCUUGAUCUGGCUGCAUAAGAGAGAAUGCAUGUAAGGGAAGAAAUCCACUAAUCUGCUUCACUGAAAGCUGAUACAGAAACCAUGUUCAAAAGGAAAAUCCAAAUCACAAAGCUUUGAAAUUUACAAAAGGAUUUAGUAUAGCAUAGGUUUGCAUAUGACUUAUGGCCUCAGUCAGAAAUGCCCAACAAGCUGUGCAUCAGCCUUAGGCUCUACUUAACAAAUACUAAUGGGCUAAGGGGAUGGAGUCUGGACAAUGAAUAGCAUUUGUUUGCUCAGUAUGCAAAGGGAUCUUGUAGCACCUUAGAGAUUAACAGAGAAAAUAAAAUUGGUAGCAUAAAUUUCCACAGACAUCUACACUGUAGAAGUAAAGCAAUCUGACAUGUUAAUUGGCAUGGCUCAAUGCUGUGGAAUCAUGAGAGUUGCAAUUUUACAAGGUCUUUAACCUUCUCUGCCAAAAAAAAAGGGGGGAGCUGGUGCCUCAUCAAACUACAACUCCCUUUUAGCUCGGAUAGAGUUGGGUGGUAUGACUAAACUACUCUUUCCCCAUG
Molecule: long non-coding RNA, 1799 nt
Organism: Anolis carolinensis (green anole)
Lineage: Eukaryota; Metazoa; Chordata; Lepidosauria; Squamata; Anolidae
Source: Ensembl